UGGGGGAUAUUGCACAAUGGGCGAAAGCCUGAUGCAGCGACGCCGCGUGGGGGAUGAAGGCCUUCGGGUUGUAAACUUCUUUUGCUCUGAACAAGGCAUGCCUUUGGGGUGUGUUGUGUGUAGGGGUUGAUUAGCGCCGGCUAACUACGUGCCAGCAGCCGCGGUAAUACGUAGGGCGCGAGCGUUGUCCGGAAUUAUUGGGCGUAAAGGGCUUGUAGGUGGCUGGUUGCGUCUGUCGUGAAAGCUCAUGGCUUAACUGUGGGUUUGCGGUGGGUACGGGCUGGCUUGAGUGCAGUAGGGGAGGCUGGAAUUCCUGGUGUAGCGGUGGAAUGCGCAGAUAUCAGGAGGAAUACCGGUGGCGAAGGCGGGUCUCUGGGCUGUUACUGACGCUGAGGAGCGAAAGCGUGGGGAGCGAACAGG
RNAcentral lists this ribosomal RNA (420 nucleotides) under Fusobacteriota bacterium. RNAcentral's name for it is "Fusobacteria bacterium partial 16S ribosomal RNA". It matches the Rfam family "Bacterial small subunit ribosomal RNA", at positions 355 to 776 of the family's 1533-position model. Lineage: Bacteria; Fusobacteriati; Fusobacteriota. The record is from RNAcentral.